AAAGUUGGCCAGGCAAUCGCUGGGCAUUUGCAGGUAACUGCGGUGCCGGGAGGAAAGUCCGGGCUCCAUUGGGCGGGAUGCCAGUUAACGGCUGGGUGCUAUAAGUCACAAGACGAAAGUUGAGUGACCCAAGGCAACGGAAAGUGCAACAGAGAAUAGACCGCCGAUGGCGUCGCAAGGCGCACAGGUAAGAACCCCAUCCGGAGCAAGACCAAAUAGGGAAGCUGAGGCGUGGCCCGCGCUGCUUCCGGGUAGGUUGCUUGAGCCUGUCAGUGAUGGCAGGCCUAGAGGAAUGAUUGCCGAACCUUGCAAGAGGGGAACAGAACCCGGCUUAUCGGCCAACUUUCCAA
This 350-nucleotide RNase P RNA is filed under the name Betaproteobacteria bacterium HGW-Betaproteobacteria-10. RNAcentral's name for it is "RNase P RNA component class A". It matches the Rfam family "Bacterial RNase P class A". Rfam says of the family: Ribonuclease P (RNase P) is a ubiquitous endoribonuclease, found in archaea, bacteria and eukarya as well as chloroplasts and mitochondria. The record is from RNAcentral. Lineage: Bacteria; Pseudomonadati; Pseudomonadota; Betaproteobacteria.